This 253-nucleotide ribosomal RNA is filed under the name uncultured bacterium. RNAcentral's name for it is "partial 16S ribosomal RNA". It matches the Rfam family "Bacterial small subunit ribosomal RNA", at positions 524 to 776 of the family's 1533-position model. The record is from RNAcentral.
UACGGGGGGGGCAAGCGUUGUUCGGAAUUACUGGGCGUAAAGGGCUCGUAGGUGGUCUACUAAGUCGGACGUGAAAUCCCUCGGCUUAACCGGGGAACUGCGUCCGAUACUGGAUGACUUGAGUUCGGGAGAGGGAUGCGGAAUUCCAGGUGUAGCGGUGAAAUGCGUAGAUAUCUGGAGGAACACCGGUGGCGAAGGCGGCAUCCUGGACCGACACUGACGCUGAGGAGCGAAAGCCAGGGGAGCAAACGGG